UAAACCCGGUGCCGCGCCCCCAGAUCUGCAUCGGAAUGCAGAAAAGAUCUGUUUAAAAAAAAAAAAGUUUUGAAUUCCUCAAUGAUUUUUCUUCUGGAAAGACAGCUUAGGAUAAUUAUUUCAGCUUUAUUGAGGGCAGAUUAGUUGAAGUCUGGGCGCUGCGUUUCAAUACGCGUUGUACACGGGCCGACAAUGUGG
Unclassified non-coding RNA from Ictidomys tridecemlineatus (thirteen-lined ground squirrel), 198 nucleotides. The record is from Ensembl. Lineage: Eukaryota; Metazoa; Chordata; Mammalia; Rodentia; Sciuridae.